This 454-nucleotide ribosomal RNA is filed under the name uncultured bacterium. Its description in RNAcentral is "SSU rRNA". It matches the Rfam family "Bacterial small subunit ribosomal RNA", at positions 26 to 518 of the family's 1533-position model. The record is from RNAcentral.
AGGAUGAACGCUGGCGGCGUGCCUAAUACAUGCAAGUCGAGCGGUAAGGCCCUUCGGGGUACACGAGCGGCGGACGGCUGAGUAACACGUAGGAACGUACCCCAAAGUGAGGGAUAAGCACCAGAAAUGGUGUCUAAUACCCCAUGUGCUCUUAGGAGUAAAGCUCCGGCGCUUUGGGAACGGCCUGCGCAUGAUUAGCUUGUUGGUGAGGUAAUAGCUCACCAAGGCGACGAUCAUUAGCUGGUCUGAGAGGAUGACCAGCCAGACUGGGACUGAGAACGGCCCAGACUCCUACGGGAGGCAGCAGUAGGGAAUUUUCCACAAUGGACGAAAGUCUGAUGGAGCAACGCCGCGUGCAGGAUGAAGGCCUUCGGGUUGUAAACUGCUUUUCUCUGUGACGAUUAGUGACGGUAACAGAGGAAUAAGGACCUGCUAACUACGCGCCAGCAGCCGC